CCUCCCUGCCUCCUUUCUCUCCAUCACUUCUCUUUCCUCUCCUCCGACCCACGUGACUGCAGAGCAUCUAUCUCCGGUGCUGGAAGCCGGAGCGGAGAAAAGAGAGGCGCGGGAUGGAGAUGGAGAUGGUGGGAUGGAGGGAUGGAAUGGAUGGGAGCCGGAGCGCAGCGCAGCGCAGCGCGGAGGAGGAGGAGGAGGCGCAGAGGCUCUGUCGCCCCCGGGGUGAUGCUCGCUCUCUCGGAAGUGUGUCCAAGCGUUUUCUUUUGCGUUUCUGUGCGUGAUGGAUGAGAACAACCGGAGGAGGAGGAGGAGGAAGGAGUUCCCAACAGGUCGCUGUGGUCAAACCCUGAAGGGUCUCACACACACAUGCACACACACACACACACACACACACACACACACACCUUUUGCAGAGUCGAGCCUCUGGCCGAUUGUGUGUUUGUGACGUCACUGACAUGUCCCGUAAUGUCCUUUACAGGUGCGGACCAGCUGUCGGUGCGGCACUGUUACCGAGCAGCGUGGAGAGAGAGGGAGAGAGAAAGAGAGAGAGGGAGAGAGGGAGAGAGAAAGAGAGAGAGGGAGAGAGAGAGAGGAGAAGGAGGAGGGGAAUCGGAGAGUGCUGCACCUGGCCUUACAAUUAAAGGAUAUUUCUUGCGACAGAAUGAGACUCAGAAAUGUCUUUUAAUUGUUUGACUACGUGUGGUGUGAAAUGCUGAGAGAAAGCUCCGCGGGUUCCCACCACGGUCCGUCUGGAGAAGCUCUUCUGGAUCUUCAGCCCGUUCCACACUCCCACUAAUGCAGUUUCAUUUUAAAGCUGAGAUGGUGAGAAAAUUAAAUAAAUAAAUAAAUAAAUAAAUAAAUAAAUAAGACUGACAUUGUGGUUAGUUUAACUUUGUUUUCUUGUGAUUGAACUAGAAUUUGUACGUGGAGGUUUUCUUGUUUAAAGUGGUUUCUGCUUUUCUGUGAGACGGUGAAGUUGCUCCUCAGUCUGAAUUAACAUCAGUGAGUUCUUAAGAGAUUCGGAUGCAGAUCAAUUUGACCAACAUUGACACCCGUUUUAACUUUAUCCUCAGACGGGAAAAUGAUCUCAUCUCCCAACCGGAUACAACUUUGUUUGAGCCAUGAUUUCUAAGACUCUUCUUUUUUUUCUCAUUCAUUAUUUUUCAAACUUUGAAUUAAACGUUAAAAUGUGUGUGUGUGUGUGUGUGUGUGUGUGUGUUUAAAGUUUCCUCCAAGAAUUUAACCAAUAAUCUUCUUCACUGAGAACAACCUCUUGUGACCUGCAGCUACCCUGAGAUUAACCAUUGAUUCGUUGGAUUGUUCAGUGCAGAACUACGGUUUUUUUUUUUUUCAAUUCCAACUUCAUGUGGUUCUCCAGAGAAAAGAUUAUCCUUUGAUUUUCACCCAUCAAACGUUUGAAAAAACAUAAUUUUAACGUUUUACUCGAGUUUUUCUGAUCACAGAAUGCAUCUUGUUGAUUUAAGAAUCGGAUAUUUCUUCCUUUUUCAAUGUCUUAAUAACAGUUUUGAUACUUUUGUUUGUUUGCUUUCGUCGUAGAAUAAACCAGCCUAGUUUGAACUUAUUUGACAAGAAGGAUCCAAACCAAAAACGGACAUUUAAAUAUUUCCAGUUAACUCUCCCACAGAGAGAGUUAAUAAACCCAC
Poecilia latipinna (sailfin molly) is the source of this 1664-nucleotide long non-coding RNA. RefSeq lists it as uncharacterized. The transcript is spliced from 2 exons. NCBI's taxonomy places the organism in Eukaryota, Metazoa, Chordata, Actinopteri, Cyprinodontiformes, Poeciliidae. The record is from RefSeq and is a predicted model, not a curated record.